AUCAGAUCGAUGAUGUUAAUUGAAAAACUGCGUUAUCUAUCUUAAAAUCUCCAAAAUAGGAGUUGCAGAUACUAACAGAAACGCUGAGAUCUGAU
This 95-nucleotide small nucleolar RNA is filed under the name Brassica rapa (field mustard). Its description in RNAcentral is "Small nucleolar RNA snoR27". It matches the Rfam family "Small nucleolar RNA snoR27". Lineage: Eukaryota; Viridiplantae; Streptophyta; Magnoliopsida; Brassicales; Brassicaceae. The record is from Rfam by way of RNAcentral.